RNAcentral lists this ribosomal RNA (196 nucleotides) under uncultured bacterium. RNAcentral describes it as "partial 16S ribosomal RNA". It matches the Rfam family "Bacterial small subunit ribosomal RNA", at positions 328 to 539 of the family's 1533-position model. The record is from RNAcentral.
ACGCUCGACACCUACGGAGGCAGCAGUGGGGAAUAUUGCACAAUGGGGGAAACCCUGAUGCAGCGACGCCGCGUGGAGGAAGAAGGUCUUCGGAUUGUAAACUCCUGUUGUUGGGGAAAAGAGGAUGGUACCCAACAAGGAAGUGACGGCUAACUACGUGCCAACAGCCGCGGUAAUCUGAGCGGGCUGGCAAGGC